Callipepla squamata (scaled quail) is the source of this 184-nucleotide regulatory RNA element. It matches the Rfam family "TUC338". The record is from Rfam. Lineage: Eukaryota; Metazoa; Chordata; Aves; Galliformes; Odontophoridae.
UGGAUUGUCUACACUGGAGGCUGAAGCCCUCUAUUUACCCACAGAACAGAUACAGCAUGGGCGGCAGCCGUGCAAGCUUCCCCACGCUGCCCCCACCAAUGUGCCUCAUCUCUGUCCUGGAGGGACCACCUCUAGAGGUGAGAGGAUAGUUUGGUCUCCAUGACCCAUCCGAUCCUUGACCUUU